GAUUACUGACCGUUACAGAAAAUUUCCCUCUGGCCUAUUUCAGCUGAAGACACAACGGAAGCUCGUGUCCAUGCAAGAGCAUUAACACACCCUCAGCUCCUGGGAGGCAGAGGCAUCAUCAGGGACCACAUUCCGGGUGCCCAGUACAGCCCUGGGUCCCCGCGGGCCCUGGGUAAGCGCCUGUCGCAUGAAUGAGUUCCGCGGUUACACCGGCCGUCAGCGCUGCGCGGCUUCUAGUGAGCCGGCCCAGAAAAGUCGAGCUGAGCCACUGAGAAGCAGGACCAGCCUUCACUCAACAAAACAUGAGGACAAGGGAAAUCCUGUUAAAGGCCCCAGCCGUAGUCCGCUCAGUAUGGGGUGAAGAAAGAGGCUGUAAACUCAGCACUUGAAGCUUUCACCCAGGACUCCAUGUUGCAAGUGACAGGAAACCCAGUGCCUACUGGCUAAACCAGAAUCUGGAAAUACAACGGCUCACGUCACAGGAAGGUCCAGUGGCCGUUCCCACUUCAGCUGUAGCUCAGACGCGAUCACCGUGACGUGGAUUCCCUCCCUCCAUCUCUCGGCUUUGCUUCUCCUGCAGUGGUUCUGUCCCCUGGGGCAGCCGUUCCGUGGUAAAACCUGGCUCAUGACAAAGAGAAAGCCUCUUUGCUGUCACCUGCGGCAAGACGUCAGAGCUGCAUCUUGGUCACUUGCUCAGCCCCGAGCCUGUUGCUUUGACCAGGGAAGCGCAGUGAAUGAUGAGC
Lemur catta (Ring-tailed lemur) is the source of this 743-nucleotide long non-coding RNA. RefSeq lists it as uncharacterized. NCBI's taxonomy places the organism in Eukaryota, Metazoa, Chordata, Mammalia, Primates, Lemuridae. The transcript is spliced from 4 exons. The record is from RefSeq and is a predicted model, not a curated record.